AACGAACGCUGGCGGUGUGCUUAACACAUGCAAGUCGAACGAGAAAGUUUCCUUCGGGAAGCGAGUAAAGUGGCGCAAGGGUGAGUAACACGUUGAAUAAUCUACCCCCCGAGACUGGGGAUAACCUGGUGAAAAACUAGGCUAAUACCGGAUAAGACCACGUCCCGCAAGGGAUGCGGGAAAAGGAGGCUCAACCUCCACUUGGGGAUGAGUUCGCGGACCAUUAGCUUGUUGGUGAGAUAACAGCUCACCAAGGCUACGAUGGUUAACCGGCCUGAGAGGGUGAACGGUCACACUGGAACUGAGACACGGCCCAGACUCCUACGGGAGGCAGCAGUCGGGAAUUUUGGGGCAAUGGGCGAAAGCCUGACCCAGCAAACGCCGCGUGAGGGAUG
RNAcentral lists this ribosomal RNA (395 nucleotides) under uncultured Nitrospina sp. Its description in RNAcentral is "bacterial SSU rRNA". It matches the Rfam family "Bacterial small subunit ribosomal RNA", at positions 29 to 410 of the family's 1533-position model. The record is from RNAcentral. Lineage: Bacteria; Pseudomonadati; Nitrospinota; Nitrospinia; Nitrospinales; Nitrospinaceae.